UGAGAUGUCCAAAAGACCACUGAUGGCAUUGUAACUCAUGAUCCCUGCAUGGGGUUUCCGCGGUGCCAUGUUAUGUGUUGAAGCAAAGAACGUAAGCUUCAUGAAAGAAGAAACUGUCUAGCUCCUUCGUGGCCAGAUUCUUAGAGCCUAGAAAGUAAUGCAGAGGUGAGAAAACUGAUGCAGAAAGAAGUCAGAUAACGUAAC
Long non-coding RNA from Orcinus orca (killer whale), 204 nucleotides. RefSeq lists it as uncharacterized. NCBI's taxonomy places the organism in Eukaryota, Metazoa, Chordata, Mammalia, Artiodactyla, Delphinidae. The transcript has 3 exons. The record is from RefSeq and is a predicted model, not a curated record.